Molecule: long non-coding RNA, 844 nt
Filed under: Malus domestica (apple)
Lineage: Eukaryota; Viridiplantae; Streptophyta; Magnoliopsida; Rosales; Rosaceae
Description: long non-coding RNA (MDOM_LNC017931)
Source: RNAcentral
UAGUUGGGGUUAAGCCACUUAGCCAUGGAGGCAAGUGAAUGCACAACAAGGGAUCUCUAACCUUCAAACCGUUUAAGGGAGAAUACUCCAUGAUAUGAUUAAGAAUCUCUGUCCAGAGUAUGAAUGAGAUUUAGGAAGUCGCUCCAAAUCACAUUCAAGGUAAUCAUAUAAGUAAAUGAAUCACAUUGGAUAGUAGACAUGGAUAAACUAUCAAACCAAACAAUGUGGUCAAGAGUAUUGUAUUAGAGAAAGACCGUAUUGCAUUGUACUCCUAAACUGAAUAGGUUCUCCACCUCUUCUGAUUAGCUUGGGUAACCAUGACAUACUGCUAGGUGUCACUCAUGGUUUAUGGAAGCCCUAAAUGUGUUUAAUCACUAAAGGGAGAAUUGAAUGUAAGUUUCAAUUCACAAUCAAUUUGAAAGAGUUCUAAUCGCCCACUGCCUCGCUAAAAGGAACCUAAUGGAUCGUACACCAUGUAAGGUAAAGAUUGAAGAAACAGUGGAGAUGAGUAAGGAUAAUUAAAUGGUUUAAUUAUUUAUGGCAAGGAUUAAUUAAUAUGAUUAAUUAAUCAAACGAAUAAAGUUCGUUAAAGACCUCGGGUUAGUUUUGGGCCUUAAGGCCCAAUGGGCUUCGAACGUCAAGCCCAUUGACUUAAGUUGUAUGACAACUUAAUGACUAAUAAUUCACAAAGGCCCAAAUAGCCCAAUAAAACCCUAUGGCCGGCCAUAUUGAUAAAGGAGUGGGUUUUGGACUUAUUACAAGUUUGCCACUCCAAUGAAUGUAGGUAUAAAUAUGACUUUAUAGCCAAAAUUCAUUUAAGGUUUUCUUUUGGGGAAAGGAUGAG